GCGGGUGUGGCGGAAUUGGCAGACGCGCUAGAUUUAGGUUCUAGUGGGAGACCAUGCAGGUUCAAGUCCUGUCACCCGCA
This 80-nucleotide transfer RNA is filed under the name Pseudobutyrivibrio sp. JW11. RNAcentral describes it as "tRNA_Leu_TAG". It matches the Rfam family "tRNA". Rfam says of the family: Transfer RNA (tRNA) molecules are approximately 80 nucleotides in length. Their secondary structure includes four short double-helical elements and three loops (D, anti-codon, and T loops). Lineage: Bacteria; Bacillati; Bacillota; Clostridia; Lachnospirales; Lachnospiraceae. The record is from RNAcentral.